RNAcentral lists this long non-coding RNA (995 nucleotides) under Citrus x clementina. Its description in RNAcentral is "Citrus clementina (C. clementina) long non-coding RNA (CCLE_LNC006117)". Lineage: Eukaryota; Viridiplantae; Streptophyta; Magnoliopsida; Sapindales; Rutaceae. The record is from RNAcentral.
CGGGCGGUUAUUUUUGGGCGCGGCUUUGCCCGCGGCUUAUUUUUGGCACCCGGAGGCCCCUCGCAAAGUCUCGCCCCAUUCCGAGUCCGGCAGACGAACUUCGCCCGCGCCCCCCACCAAGGCUAUAGCCCACGACCCGUUUUUUGGCCAUUUUUCCGCUGGGGGGUUUUGGCACCACGGCCUUCGGGCGCUUAUUUUUGGGCGCGGCUUUGCCCGCGGCUUAUUUUUGGCACCCCGAGGCCCCUCGCAAAGUCUCGCCCCAUUCCGAGUCCGGUGGACGAACUUCGCCCGCACCCCCCAGCAAGGCUAUAGCCCACGACCCGUUUUUUGGCCAUUUUUCCGCUGGGGGGUUUUGGCACAACGACCUUCGGGCGCUUAUUUUUGGGCGCGGCUUUGCCCGCGGCUUAUUUUUGGCACCCCGAGGCCCCUCGCAAAGUCUCGUCCCAUUCCGAGUCCGGCGGACGAACUUCGCCAGCGCCCCCCACCAAGGCUAUAGCCCACGACCCGUUUUUUGGCCAUUUUUAAGCUGGGGGGUUUUGGCACCACGGCCUUCGGGCGCUUAUUUUUGGGCGCGGCUUUGCCCGCGGCUUAUUUUUGGCACCCCGAGGCCCCUCGCAAAGUCUCGCCCCAUUCCGAGUCCGGCGGACGAACUUCGCCCGCGCCCCCCACCAAGGCUAUAGCCCACGACCCGUUUUUUGGCCAUUUUUCCACUGGGGGGUUUUGGCACCGCGACCUUCGGGCGCUUAUUUUUUGGCGCGGCUUUGCCCACGGCUUAUUUUUGGCACCCCGAGGCCCCUCGCAAAGUCUCACCCCAUUCCGAGUCCGGCGGACAAACUUCGCCCGCGCCCCCCACCAAGGCUAUAGCCCACGACCCGUUUUUUGGCCAUUUAUACGCUGGGGGGUUUUGGCACCACGACCUUCUGGCGCUUAUUUUUGGGCGCGGCUUUGUCCGCGGCUUAUUUUUGGCACCCCGAGGCCCCUCGCAAAGUCUCGCC